UGGACAGCCCUAGAAACUGAAUUGCUCUGUUUACCCAUAAGAUAGGUACAGCACAUGCAAUUACAGUACAAGCUUCCCUUUCCUUCCUGCCAGCACACUUCAACCCUGAUCUGGAGGGACCACUUCUGGAAUGAGUGCUGUCUCUGCGCCCAGUCAGUCACUGGCUGAU
This 169-nucleotide small RNA is filed under the name Gopherus agassizii (Agassiz's desert tortoise). Its description in RNAcentral is "TUC338 (ENSGAGG00000007452.1)". The record is from RNAcentral. Lineage: Eukaryota; Metazoa; Chordata; Testudines; Testudinidae.